ACAUGCCUCUGCUGUACGCCUCGGCCACAGGACACAGAGCACUAAGAAGACAGAGAACAGCCCUGCAAAGCUAAUCUGCUCAACCUUCACCUACUGGGUUCAAUGAAUAUGAAAAGCUGCCUUCCUGAAACUUUUCCUUCAAAGAGGGAAUGAUCUCCUGGAAUUCAAGCUUCUACAAGGUGGCUACCUGGUGUUUUCCACUUUUGCCGUCUCCUAAAAAGCAUCAUUCAAGCCUUGCCCUUUCAACCCACUGAACACAUAAACAUGCUUUCUCCUUAACUGAACUUAUGGCCACGAUGAACUUGAACUCUGAGAUUCACAGAGGAGAGUUUGUUUUAACAGCUGCUUUUACAAUGAAGCCCUGGAGUUACUACUCUCAAGACCCCUGGUUCUGAUAGGCCAUCUUUUCACUGUCCUCUGCAUUUUCUAAUGCCCAGCUGUCAAGGAACACCCACUGAAGUUUUCCAAAACAAAGGCACGAAACACAAGAAAGGCAAGAGAAUGCUAAUCACCAGAUGCAUGGGCAUCCUAUGGGGGAACCCCUUACAUGUGGAAUACGGU
RNAcentral lists this long non-coding RNA (561 nucleotides) under Homo sapiens (human). Its description in RNAcentral is "ADAMTS9 antisense RNA 1". Lineage: Eukaryota; Metazoa; Chordata; Mammalia; Primates; Hominidae. The record is from RNAcentral.